AAAACUUCGCAAUGGGGGCAACCCCGACGAGGGAAUUCCAAGUGCCAGCACUUUGUGUUGGCUGUUCUCCUGUCUAAAAAACAGGAGGAGUAAGGGGCGGGUAAGACGGGUGCCAGCCGCCGCGGUAAUACCCGCGCCCCUAGUGGUGGUCGAUAUUAUUGAGCCUAAAACGUCCGUAGCCGGUCUUCUAAAUCCUUGGGUAAAUCGGGCAGCUUAACUGUCCGAAGUCCGGGGAGACUGGGAGACUUGGGACCGGGAGAGGUCAGAGGUACUUCUGGGGUAGGGGUAAAAUCCUGUAAUCCUGGAAGGACCACCGGUGGCGAAGGCGUCUGACUAGAACGGAUCCGACGGUGAGGGACGAAGCCCUGGGGCGCAAACGGG
RNAcentral lists this ribosomal RNA (381 nucleotides) under uncultured archaeon. RNAcentral's name for it is "bacterial SSU rRNA". It matches the Rfam family "Archaeal small subunit ribosomal RNA", at positions 343 to 727 of the family's 1478-position model. The record is from RNAcentral.